GUAAGUUUGUUGACUUUAAGUCUUUCAGUAAAGUAAAAAAUAUCUGCUUUUAUAUGGUUAAUAUCUUACAUAUCUUCUGUUUGAGGGUAAGAUAUGAAAUUGAAUUUUGGAACAGGGAGCUAGAACAGAAACUUGUUCUUCCAAUCCGUGCAUGUAGCUGGCAUUGCAGUACUGCUGAGAAUGGUGCAGCUUCU
This is a small nuclear RNA of Gracilinanus agilis (Agile Gracile Mouse Opossum), 194 nucleotides long. RefSeq annotates it as U2 spliceosomal RNA. The record is from RefSeq and is a predicted model, not a curated record. The transcript has a single exon. NCBI's taxonomy places the organism in Eukaryota, Metazoa, Chordata, Mammalia, Didelphimorphia, Didelphidae.